Molecule: long non-coding RNA, 208 nt
Filed under: Nicotiana benthamiana
Lineage: Eukaryota; Viridiplantae; Streptophyta; Magnoliopsida; Solanales; Solanaceae
Description: long non-coding RNA (NBEN_LNC020646)
Source: RNAcentral
GAUGCCAUUGCUCUCUCUACCAAUCCCCAUUACCUUCCCACUGUAAAGUGCCUAAAACACACCAAAGCUAGGGAAGAAUGCAACUGAACAUGAAAGUUCCCUAGUUAAUUUCGACACUAAGAACACAUUGAACUUGAAAUAUGGCACAUGUAGCACAUUAGUGAUCUUGUACUUUCCUAGUAUCUCUGUACUCCGUGUAUUAGCUAUG